This 434-nucleotide ribosomal RNA is filed under the name uncultured bacterium. RNAcentral's name for it is "partial 16S ribosomal RNA". It matches the Rfam family "Bacterial small subunit ribosomal RNA", at positions 27 to 507 of the family's 1533-position model. The record is from RNAcentral.
GAACGAACGCUGGCGGCAUGCCUAACACAUGCAAGUCGAACGAAGCCUUCGGGCUUAGUGGCGCACGGGUGCGUAACGCGUGGGAAUCUGCCCCUUGCUUCGGAAUAACAGUUAGAAAUGACUGCUAAUACCGGAUGAAGUCUUCGGACCAAAGAUUUAUCGGCAAGGGAUGAGCCCGCGUAGGAUUAGGUAGUUGGUGGGGUAAAGGCCUACCAAGCCGACGAUCCUUAGCUGGUCUGAGAGGAUGAUCAGCCACACUGGGACUAAGACACGGCCCAGACUCCUACGGGAGGCAGCAGUGGGGAAUAUUGGACAAUGGACGCAAGUCUGAUCCAGCAAUGCCGCGUGAGUGAUGAAGGCCUUAGGGUUGUAAAGCUCUUUUACCAGGGAUGAUAAUGACAGUACCUGGAGAAUAAGCUCCGGCUAACUCCGUG